UCUCCACACUAGUCAUUAUUUUCAAGACUAGACUACUACCCAUCCUCAGAAGAGUUAUUCAUUGCUAGGUAUUUGCUCCUGCAGAACUAGAAUCAAGAAACCCUAAAGGAACUUGCCAGUUAGAUGUCAUGGUGAAAGGUCAAGAGGAACACUUAAGCUCAGGACAAUCAUCAUGGGCCAAGUCUGCCACAGAAAGCAAGUACUGGACUGAAGCCAGUUCCCAACCUGAGGUCUCAGGAGAUCUAUAUCUUGAACCCUUUUGUUGAGUGAGAGUGACCUGGUUUUUGCAACCAAAAGACAGAGCUUAUGAUAGCAACCUAAGUUAAAAUCUUAUAUCAAGACCUACCACUGACAUAUUUAGUAAGGAUAAAAC
Homo sapiens (human) is the source of this 373-nucleotide long non-coding RNA. Lineage: Eukaryota; Metazoa; Chordata; Mammalia; Primates; Hominidae. The record is from Ensembl.